RNAcentral lists this ribosomal RNA (253 nucleotides) under uncultured bacterium. Its description in RNAcentral is "partial 16S ribosomal RNA". It matches the Rfam family "Bacterial small subunit ribosomal RNA", at positions 524 to 776 of the family's 1533-position model. The record is from RNAcentral.
UACGGGGGGGGCAAGCGUUGUUCGGAAUUACUGGGCGUAAAGGGCGCGUAGGCGGCUCAUCAAGUCGGGCGUGAAAUCUCCGGGCUUAACCUGGAAAAGUCGUUCGAUACUGUUGAGCUAGAGUGUGGAAGAGGCUACUGGAAUUCCGUGUGUAGCGGUGAAAUGCGUAGAUAUACGGAGGAACACCUGCGGCGAAGGCGGCUUCCUGGACCGACACUGACGCUGAGGCGCGAAAGCUAGGGGAGCAAACGGG